Lupinus albus (white lupine) is the source of this 119-nucleotide non-coding RNA. NCBI's taxonomy places the organism in Eukaryota, Viridiplantae, Streptophyta, Magnoliopsida, Fabales, Fabaceae. The record is from the annotation of a GenBank genome assembly.
GUGGAGGUAGAAGGCCUACGGGUCAUGAACUUCUUUUCCCUGAGAAGAAGCAAUGAUGAUGUCUGGAGAAUAAGCAUCAACUAACUUUGUGCCAGUAACCACAGUAAGGCAGAGGAUGC